CGAAGAGAGCAAAAGGUGAACAGAUUAUCUCUCAUGUAUGUAAUUUUCUCAUUUCAUCAACCCAUCUGCUAAUCUUCAUCUUCGUCAAAUCAAUAAGCUCCCAUUUCCUCUUGUUCUCCGGCUGACCAUGAAAUGCGAAUUCGUAUGGUCGGUCUCGAUGCUAGAAGUAAAACUAGAGUCUUGUACAAGCUCAAGUGCGGAGAGAUCACAGACCACCAUUCCAACAAUUGGUUACUACUCCACAGUUGGUUGAGUCUUUGAAAGACAUAUUUGUGGUACAAGCUGCAAUUCGAAAUUUCUUCGUGGCUGUGUUGCCAAGAGAGGGCAGGAUGUAUACAUUUUCUUGGGGCAACGAUGGCAAACUCGACCACCUAACCGAGCCAACUGAUGUUGAGCCCCAUCCUUUAAUGGGAGCACUUGAGAAUGUACCUGUGGUGAAAAUUGCAGCUGGAUACUGCUAUGCUACGUUCUUGCUAUGGCUUGUCAACCAAAUGGCAUAUGGAAAUCGACAUGCAAAUGUGUUGGCACCAGAACUACCUAGUGACAUCGUUGAAGCAAGUGAAUGAGCAGGUUGUACUGAUCGAUCUCACCAAUUCCAUAUACUGGAACGCCCACACUUCUCACUCACCGAGUUAGGGAUACUGUACGCAUUUGGGGCCGGAGACAAAGGGCAACUAGGCAUUGAACUGGUUGCCAACCAGACCAAAAAGGGAAAACCGAACUGGUCGAUAAUGAUCUCAGAUAGAGUUCAUCAUAUCACCAGCUUUCCCGGCCACAACAUAAUAAUCUAUCCUCUAAUUUAUCAUCAUAACUCAUUGCAUAUGAUGUUUACAUUUCCAUGUCGCAUAGAAACAAAGAAUUGUGAAGUUUCAAGUUUAUUAGCUUAUUAAGGGCUUAAAACAGAUUGCUAAAUAGCUGUUUAUAUCUGAAAAUUUGGCUUGCUCUUGGGCUUCUAGUAGUUGUUGAUAGUUGAUGAUACAUUUGUCAAAGGUUCAUUUCAUGACUUAUUUUAUUUCAAAA
Molecule: long non-coding RNA, 1020 nt
Organism: Malus domestica (apple)
Lineage: Eukaryota; Viridiplantae; Streptophyta; Magnoliopsida; Rosales; Rosaceae
Source: RefSeq, a predicted model, not a curated record